AGCCUUGGAGUGUUAUCACGUUAGAUUGCAAAUCUAAAGAAGCAAAUUUAGCAUUUGCCGGGGCUU
This 66-nucleotide transfer RNA is filed under the name Phycis blennoides. RNAcentral's name for it is "tRNA-Cys". Lineage: Eukaryota; Metazoa; Chordata; Actinopteri; Gadiformes; Phycidae. The record is from RNAcentral.